This 72-nucleotide transfer RNA is filed under the name Camelus bactrianus (Bactrian camel). It matches the Rfam family "tRNA". From Rfam's summary of the family: Transfer RNA (tRNA) molecules are approximately 80 nucleotides in length. Their secondary structure includes four short double-helical elements and three loops (D, anti-codon, and T loops). The record is from Rfam by way of RNAcentral. Lineage: Eukaryota; Metazoa; Chordata; Mammalia; Artiodactyla; Camelidae. RNAcentral also lists the same sequence under 2 other names.
GACAGUAUAGCUCAGUGGUAGAGUGCAUGCUUAGCAUGCACGAGGUCCUGGGUUCAAUCCCCAGUACAGUAU